CCCAAUGAUGAUCAUCCAGAUAGGGACAGCUUAUGCUAUGCAUGUGAUGUUACCUGGAAAGAGAAUUUUAGUAGAUGCCUCUUGUUAUCUGAGC
Molecule: small nucleolar RNA, 94 nt
Rfam family: A. fumigatus snoRNA Afu_335
Source: Rfam